UUAAGUUAUUAAGGGCGCACGGUGGAUGCCUUGGCACUAGAAGCCGAUGAAGGACGUUACUAACGACGAUAUGCUUUGGGGAGCUGUAAGUAAGCUUUGAUCCAGAGAUUUCCGAAUGGGGAAACCCAACAUGAGUUAUGUCAUGUUAUCGAUAUGUGAAUACAUAGCAUAUCAGAAGGCACACCCGGAGAACUGAAACAUCUUAGUACCCGGAGGAAGAGAAAGAAAAAUCGAUUCCCUUAGUAGCGGCGAGCGAAACGGGAAGAGCCCAAACCAACAAGCUUGCUUGUUGGGGUUGUAGGACACUCUAUACGGAGUUACAAAGGACGACAUUAGACGAAUCAUCUGGAAAGAUGAAUCAAAGAAGGUAAUAAUCCUGUAGUCGAAAAUGUUGUCUCUCUUGAGUGGAUCCUGAGUACGACGGAGCACGUGAAAUUCCGUCGGAAUCUGGGAGGACCAUCUCCUAAGGCUAAAUACUCUCUAGUGACCGAUAGUGAACCAGUACCGUGAGGGAAAGGUGAAAAGCACCCCGGAAGGGGAGUGAAAUAGAACCUGAAACCGUGUGCUUACAAGUAGUCAGAGCCCGUUAAUGGGUGAUGGCGUGCCUUUUGUAGAAUGAACCGGCGAGUUACGAUUUGAUGCAAGGUUAAGCAGUAAAUGUGGAGCCGUAGCGAAAGCGAGUCUGAAUAGGGCGUUUAGUAUUUGGUCGUAGACCCGAAACCAGGUGAUCUACCCUUGGUCAGGUUGAAGUUCAGGUAACACUGAAUGGAGGACCGAACCGACUUACGUUGAAAAGUGAGCGGAUGAACUGAGGGUAGCGGAGAAAUUCCAAUCGAACCUGGAGAUAGCUGGUUCUCUCCGAAAUAGCUUUAGGGCUAGCCUCAAGUGAUGAUUAUUGGAGGUAGAGCACUGUUUGGACGAGGGGCCCCUCUCGGGUUACCGAAUUCAGACAAACUCCGAAUGCCAAUUAAUUUAACUUGGGAGUCAGAACAUGGGUGAUAAGGUCCGUGUUCGAAAGGGAAACAGCCCAGACCACCAGCUAAGGUCCCAAAAUAUAUGUUAAGUGGAAAAGGAUGUGGCGUUGCCCAGACAACUAGGAUGUUGGCUUAGAAGCAGCCAUCAUUUAAAGAGUGCGUAAUAGCUCACUAGUCGAGUGACACUGCGCCGAAAAUGUACCGGGGCUAAACAUAUUACCGAAGCUGUGGAUUGUCCUUUGGACAAUGGUAGGAGAGCGUUCUAAGGGCGUUGAAGCAUGAUCGUAAGGACAUGUGGAGCGUUUAGAAGUGAGAAUGCCGGUGUGAGUAGCGAAAGACGGGUGAGAAUCCCGUCCACCGAUUGACUAAGGUUUCCAGAGGAAGGCUCGUCCGCUCUGGGUUAGUCGGGUCCUAAGCUGAGGCCGACAGGCGUAGGCGAUGGAUAACAGGUUGAUAUUCCUGUACCACCUAUAAUCGUUUUAAUCGAUGGGGGGACGCAGUAGGAUAGGCGAAGCGUGCGAUUGGAUUGCACGUCUAAGCAGUAAGGCUGAGUAUUAGGCAAAUCCGGUACUCGUUAAGGCUAAGCUGUGAUGGGGAGAAGACAUUGUGUCUUCGAGUCGUUGAUUUCACACUGCCGAGAAAAGCCUCUAGAUAGAAAAUAGGUGCCCGUACCGCAAACCGACACAGGUAGUCAAGAUGAGAAUUCUAAGGUGAGCGAGCGAACUCUCGUUAAGGAACUCGGCAAAAUGACCCCGUAACUUCGGGAGAAGGGGUGCUCUUUAGGGUUAACGCCCAGAAGAGCCGCAGUGAAUAGGCCCAAGCGACUGUUUAUCAAAAACACAGGUCUCUGCUAAACCGUAAGGUGAUGUAUAGGGGCUGACGCCUGCCCGGUGCUGGAAGGUUAAGAGGAGUGGUUAGCUUCUGCGAAGCUACGAAUCGAAGCCCCAGUAAACGGCGGCCGUAACUAUAACGGUCCUAAGGUAGCGAAAUUCCUUGUCGGGUAAGUUCCGACCCGCACGAAAGGCGUAACGAUUUGGGCACUGUCUCAACGAGAGACUCGGUGAAAUCAUAGUACCUGUGAAGAUGCAGGUUACCCGCGACAGGACGGAAAGACCCCGUGGAGCUUUACUGUAGCCUGAUAUUGAAAUUCGGCACAGCUUGUACAGGAUAGGUAGGAGCCUUUGAAACGUGAGCGCUAGCUUACGUGGAGGCGCUGGUGGGAUACUACCCUAGCUGUGUUGGCUUUCUAACCCGCACCACUCAUCGUGGUGGGAGACAGUGUCAGGCGGGCAGUUUGACUGGGGCGGUCGCCUCCUAAAAGGUAACGGAGGCGUUCAAAGGUUCCCUCAGAAUGGUUGGAAAUCAUUCAUAGAGUGUAAAGGCAUAAGGGAGCUUGACUGCGAGACCUACAAGUCGAGCAGGGUCGAAAGACGGACUUAGUGAUCCGGUGGUUCCGCAUGGAAGGGCCAUCGCUCAACGGAUAAAAGCUACCCCGGGGAUAACAGGCUUAUCUCCCCCAAGAGUUCACAUCGACGGGGAGGUUUGGCACCUCGAUGUCGGCUCAUCGCAUCCUGGGGCUGUAGUCGGUCCCAAGGGUUGGGCUGUUCGCCCAUUAAAGCGGUACGCGAGCUGGGUUCAGAACGUCGUGAGACAGUUCGGUCCCUAUCCGUCGUGGGCGUAGGAAAUUUGAGAGGAGCUGUCCUUAGUACGAGAGGACCGGGAUGGACAUACCUCUGGUGUACCAGUUGUCGUGCCAACGGCAUAGCUGGGUAGCUAUGUGUGGACGGGAUAAGUGCUGAAAGCAUCUAAGCAUGAAGCCCCCCUCAAGAUGAGAUUUCCCAACUUCGGUUAUAAGAUCCCUCAAAGAUGAUGAGGUUAAUAGGUUCGAGGUGGAAGCAUGGUGACAUGUGGAGCUGACGAAUACUAAUCGAUCGAAGACUUAAUCAA
This 2921-nucleotide ribosomal RNA is filed under the name Staphylococcus hyicus. RNAcentral describes it as "23S ribosomal RNA". It matches the Rfam family "Bacterial large subunit ribosomal RNA". The record is from RNAcentral. Lineage: Bacteria; Bacillati; Bacillota; Bacilli; Caryophanales; Staphylococcaceae.